RNAcentral lists this ribosomal RNA (305 nucleotides) under uncultured bacterium. Its description in RNAcentral is "bacterial SSU rRNA". It matches the Rfam family "Bacterial small subunit ribosomal RNA", at positions 337 to 658 of the family's 1533-position model. The record is from RNAcentral.
CCCUAGGGGGGCAGCAGUGGGGAAUAUUGGGCAAUGGGCGCAAGCCUGACCCAGCAACGCCGCGUGAAGGAAGAAGGCUUUCGGGUUGUAAACUUCUUUUCUCGGGGACGAAGCAAGUGACGGUACCUGAGGAAUAAGCCACGGCUAACUACGUGCCAGCAGCCGCGGUAAUACGUAGGUGGCAAGCGUUAUCCGGAUUACUGGGUGUAAAGGGCGUGUAGGCGGGGACGCAAGUCAGAUGUGAAAACCAUGGGCUCAACCUGUGGCCUGCAUUUGAAACUGUGUUUCUUGAGUACUGGAGAGGG